Camelus ferus (Wild Bactrian camel) is the source of this 72-nucleotide transfer RNA. It matches the Rfam family "tRNA". From Rfam's summary of the family: Transfer RNA (tRNA) molecules are approximately 80 nucleotides in length. The record is from Rfam. Lineage: Eukaryota; Metazoa; Chordata; Mammalia; Artiodactyla; Camelidae.
GAGGGUGUAGCUCAGCGGUAGAGCACAUGCUUGGCAUGCAUGAGGUCCUGGGUUGGAUCCCCAGUACCUCCA